RNAcentral lists this ribosomal RNA (253 nucleotides) under uncultured bacterium. RNAcentral describes it as "partial 16S ribosomal RNA". It matches the Rfam family "Bacterial small subunit ribosomal RNA", at positions 524 to 776 of the family's 1533-position model. The record is from RNAcentral.
CACGUAGGGCGCAAGCGUUGUCCGGAAUUAUUGGGCGUAAAGAGCUCGUAGGCGGUCUGUUGCGUCCGCUGUGAAAACUCGGGGCUUAACCCCGAGCCUGCAGUGGAUACGGGCAGACUAGAGGUAGGUAGGGGAGAAUGGAAUUCCCGGUGUAGCGGUGAAAUGCGCAGAUAUCGGGAGGAACACCGGUGGCGAAGGCGGUUCUCUGGGCCUUACCUGACGCUGAGGAACGAAAGCGUGGGGAGCGAACAGG